Molecule: ribosomal RNA, 492 nt
Filed under: uncultured bacterium
Lineage: Bacteria
Description: partial 16S ribosomal RNA
Rfam family: Bacterial small subunit ribosomal RNA
Source: RNAcentral
AGUGAACGCUGGCGGUAGGCUUAACACAUGCAAGUCGAACGGCAGCACAGUAAUAGCUUGCUCUUACGGGUGGCGAGUGGCGGACGGGUGAGGAAUACAUCGGAAUCUACUUUUUCGUGGGGGAUAACGUAGGGAAACUUACGCUAAUACCGCAUACGACCUACGGGUGAAAGCAGGGGAUCUUCGGACCUUGCGCGAUUGAAUGAGCCGAUGUCGGAUUAGCUAGUUGGCGGGGUAAAGGCCCACCAAGGCGACGAUCCGUAGCUGGUCUGAGUGGAUGAUCAGCGACACUGGAACUGGGACACGGUCCAGACGCCUACGGGAGGGAGCAGUGGGGAAUAGUAGGCAAUGGGCGCGAGCCUGAUCCAGCCAUACCACGUGGGUGAAGAAGGCGUUCGGUUUGUAAAGCCCUUUUGUUGGGAAAGAAAAGCAGCAGGUUAAUACCCCGCGGUUCUGACGGUACCCGAAGAAUAAGCACCGGCUAACUUCGUG